Molecule: ribosomal RNA, 437 nt
Filed under: Clostridioides difficile
Lineage: Bacteria; Bacillati; Bacillota; Clostridia; Peptostreptococcales; Peptostreptococcaceae
Description: bacterial LSU rRNA
Rfam family: Bacterial large subunit ribosomal RNA
Source: RNAcentral
UGGUCAAGUUAUUAAGGGUGCAGGGCGGAUGCCUUGGCACUAGGAGCCGAUGAAGGACGUGAUAAGCUGCGAUAAGCUUCGGGGAGUUGCACGUAAACUUUGAUCCGAAGAUUUCCGAAUGAGGAAACUCACUUAGAGUAAUGUCUAAGUAUCAUUAAGUGAAUACAUAGCUUAAUGAGGGGAACUCAGGGAACUGAAACAUCUAAGUACCUGAAGGAAGAGAAAGAAAUUCGAUUCCGUAAGUAGCGGCGAGCGAACGCGGAUUAGCCCAAACCAAUAAAGUUUUCUUUAUUGGGGUUGCGGACAUAUCAUAACGAAGAGGUAUCGUAAUUGAAGAGGUUUGGAAAGACCCACCACAGAAGGUAAUAGUCCUGUAUGUUAAACGAGAAGACUUUAGAUAUGAUCCAGAGUACCACGGGACACGUGAAACCCUGUGG